AUACUGAGGGUGCAAGCGUUAAUCGGAAUUACUGGGCGUAAAGCGCGCGUAGGCGGUUUAAUCAGUCGGAUGUGAAAGCCCCGGGCUCAACCUGGGAACUGCAUUCGAUACUGUUAAGCUAGAGUAUGGUAGAGGGAAGUGGAAUUCCAGGUGUAGCGGUGAAAUGCGUAGAUAUCUGGAGGAACAUCAGUGGCGAAGGCGACUUCCUGGACCAAUACUGACGCUGAGGUGCGAAAGCGUGGGGAGCAAACAGGAUUAGAUACCCUAGUAGUCC
RNAcentral lists this ribosomal RNA (274 nucleotides) under uncultured bacterium. Its description in RNAcentral is "partial 16S ribosomal RNA". It matches the Rfam family "Bacterial small subunit ribosomal RNA", at positions 523 to 796 of the family's 1533-position model. The record is from RNAcentral.